ACUAAAAUGGCAGAUAGAUGUGCAAGAUUUAGGAUCUUGUUAGGAGAAUUACUUCUUUUAGUA
This 63-nucleotide transfer RNA is filed under the name Callichirus major. Its description in RNAcentral is "tRNA-Leu". The record is from RNAcentral. Lineage: Eukaryota; Metazoa; Arthropoda; Malacostraca; Decapoda; Callianassidae.